RNAcentral lists this long non-coding RNA (888 nucleotides) under Ananas comosus (pineapple). RNAcentral describes it as "long non-coding RNA (ACOM_LNC036967)". Lineage: Eukaryota; Viridiplantae; Streptophyta; Magnoliopsida; Poales; Bromeliaceae. The record is from RNAcentral.
UAUUGGCAAAACAAGACCGACCAAGCUUCAUUUGGACCAAGAAGGCUAAAGCCUCGUCGUAAAGUUCGUUAGAGGGCAUUUCUAGAGCCUCCGUACCCUCAAGAGGUGGGGGGUGUCAUCCCGAAGCAUUCGGAUUUCCUUUUAUGUCUAAGUUAUUUAUGUUGAUCAUAUUGCAUUAUAGGAUUAAUAGAUGUAUAUUUUCUUUUCCUUGCAUGCUUCUUAGUAGUGUAACUUAUAAGUCGAACACAUGGACUAGGGUAGCAUGAGGAUUGGGUCUUGUGACAUGAAAAAUCCUAUAAUGGCAUAAAGAACCGAACUUGGACAUAGCCUAGUAGAGUGGCAUUGAACGAGUGUAGUAGAAACACUAAACAUGAACGAGUGGCAAGUAGAAUAAUUGAGACAUUUGCUACAAUGACUGAACGAGUGGCAUCGAGUCUAGUGUAGUAAACAGGUCAUGAACCUAGGGAUAGUAGUGGUCGCAACAUUAAUUAUAUAUCAUGAUUGUGCAGCAGAGGCACAUUGACCCUUGUAGAUAGGGUAUCCUCUUGUGAGGAUUGGAUCAUACUCACUAGUCUGUUUUCGCUGUCGGUGGUCGCUCCACCGUGGCACGAGUCUCCGGAGUACUUUACUAGGGGCAGACGUAGUUGUCCCGCAGACGGUCUCGGUGUGCGAGUGCAGCUUCUCCUCACCUAUGAGAUUGAGAGUGAGUCGAGGGCUUAACCUACGGGUUAGCCAAGUAGAUUGGGUAAUAAACAUGAAAUGCAUAGUAGAUUUGCAUUAUUACCUUGAGUAGACAUAGUGUAUAUUGUAGUUUGCAUUGCUAUGUACCUUUCUAUACUCAUGACAUGAUACUAGCAUGAUAGUAGUUGUUGCAUGCAUUAUUAUCAU